AUCGAAGGUCGUCUGCGCCUGGGCAGCAUCUCCACGACGUGGGACGGAUGUUGGCCGCCGCCACCGCUGGCCGCCGCGCCAUCGCGCCGCAUCAGGAGAAGCGGCGUUGGAGCCGAAGGCCACCGCCGUGCCAAGGUGUGGCGGAGAGAACUGCGCUCCGCAUGCGCGUUGGCCGUCUCUGUUGCCGGGAUGCGUGGCGGGCCGUGGUGCUCCUCCGGAGGGAGGAGCGUUUGCUGCCGGGAUGUGGUCGUCGCCGCUGUAGACGGCCGUGCCGAUGGAGGCCGCGGGUGCGGCCUCAACCAUCCGCAUCCAGGGGGAAAAGGGAGGAGAGUGGACGAGCGGCCGCCGCUUAGACCUUCCUCCGUCCGGAAUCGAGUCCGCUGAUCCGCGGCCGAUCUCAUUUAAGAGAGUGUGUUCGAGGCUUCCAAUUGUUGAAUCGAUGGAGGCUGGCGUUGCGUUCUUCCAUCAGUUCUUCUUUCUUUGUAGUUCACGAUUGAUCAAUUCUUCGUGAGAUUCGUGUGAGCGCAUAUACAUACAGGAGAAAAGCAAUUCAUUGUUAGAUUAUUAAUUGAUGAUUGCAAGAAGACAAAAUCAAUCAAUCAAUCUCCUGAUUAGUUUCUUUCCUUUUUGUACGAGGAACAUCUCGUCUUCGCCGUGAAUCGCGUGGUGGCCGAAACUCUAGUAGCCAACUUCUCCAGACUUCUCCAGUGAUCGUCUGCGGCAAUUGCAGAUCGCUGGAGUGGCCUCCUCUGGCCAUAGAGAGGCCUUGCCGUUUGCUGCUGCUGUCGUCGGCAGUCAUGUGGCGGAUUGAAGCGCCGGAGGGCGCCGCUUCGACGCGCCUACAGAGGAGGGCGUCGUCAACCAUGGGGUGCCUCAGCCGCCUGCAUCGCGCGCUGGUGCUGCGCCGCUGGAGCGCUGUCGAGGCCGAGGGUCCUUGUGUCCUUGGGGCCGGAGGGAGUCGCCGCCACAGCCGUGUAUCAGGCCGAUGGUCAGGGACGGUAGUGCCGUCGAGUGCUUGGCCUAAUUGCUCUCUGGAAGAGGCGUGCGUGAUCUCUACUCCUAAUGGAGCAGUGGGUAGUCUCGCUUCCAGGUUUUUUUUCGUCCCACCUUCCAUGGCUUUUUUGGUACCUCGUCCCACCUCAUAUUGAGCUGCCACGAACCGCAAAAACCGCGUACCGAAGCCCCCACCCGCCCUCACGCAUUCCAGGGCCUAACCUCCGAUCGCACCCAAGACAAUUCAGCGAAAAAAACCUACGAAAAUUAACCAGCGAAAAAAAAACCUAAUGGAGGAGUUGGCAGUCUGGUACGGUUUAUUUUGAACAUUUUCCUAAUGACAAAAGAUCACGGAUCUAACUUUCCUACCUUAGCCAAAUCAACGAAUCUCUUUCAUUAAUGCAAUUUGCUUUAGGAAAUAAAUAAUAGAUUCUUUUCCACCUUAGCGAAAUUAACGGAUCUCUCCCAUUAAUGCAAUUUGCUUUAGCAAACAAAUAAUAGAUUAUUUCCUACCUUAGCCAAAUCAACAAAUCUCUCUCAUUAAUGCAAUUUUUUUUAGAAAACAAAUAAUAGAUUCUUUCCUACCUUAGCCAAAUCAACGCAUCUCUCCCAUUAAUGCAAUUUGCUUUAGCAAACAGAUAAUAGGUUCUUUCCUACCUUAGCCAAAUCAACGGAUCUCUUUCGUUAAUGAAUUUGCUUUAGGAAACAAAUAAUAUAUUUUUAGGAAACAAAUAAUCUCUAAUCUCAUCUCUAAUUCUCCAAUAAUAAUAAUUAAUAUAAUAUAAUAAUAAUAAUACCUAAAAGAAACGCAGCGUUCCGUUUCCCGUCUUACGUCGUCGAACCCUUCGUCGAGCCUCCCUCCCGUGCGCUGUUGGUUUUCCCUGCGUACGUUCCACCCCAAACGUGAUUCGUUCUUCUUAAUUACGUGGUCCCACCCCCAUGCGAUCCGGCCAAAGAACCAGCAAAACCGUCAUACCCAUGCACGCAAGGAACGAAAAAUCCAUGCAAGUUGUGUCUCCUCCUCCCUCUUCAAACCCUAGCCGCCCCUUCCCAGUUGACGCCGCUAGCGAGUAGCGCGUAGCACAGGCACCCGUGCGGCCCUUCUGUGGUCCCCCUUGACCUCGCAAUGAAACAGCUCGUCAGCAUCGACGACGAGCCGAUGCGUCUGCUGUUGAUUCCUGUGGAUGGGUCAAGCAGGACAGAGGGCGGUGGAUCCGGGACAUAGCCAUGAAGUCUGCUUCGAUGCGCUCCCAUUACUGUCUCAAGUGCAUGGGUCGAUCCUGGACGGUGGGUGAUGGAUCAAGGACGUACAUAGCAGCUUUCACCUACGCAAACGGCUGACUACUCAACCUCCUCUCGGCGGUGGCAGCGGCCAGGUCUGGUUAGCUACCAUUUAUCUUUAAUACAUGCCAUGAAAGGCGAUCAAGAGGAGCAAUCAUAAGCAGCGAGGUGUUCCAGGGCUACGAGCGCCAGUACUGCGACUCUGCGUCUACGAGGUCUUCGCCAAGAUCGCUACCCUCUCUUCCCGUGCCUAUUUCUAUUCGUUGUUGUUGGUUUUGUCUUACAUGGUGAGAUCUAAGCAGACAAUAUGAAGCAGAGGCUCUUUAAGAUCCAGUCCAACGUGCAGGAUACUGAAUCGCUGGUGGAGGCUUCAUUUUGGAUGUAGGUGAAUGUGUGAUUUCUGGAAGCUCUGUAUAUUAACUUCAUGAUCUACUCUUGAUUUUCUUCUUGGGGACUAGAUUUGAAGAUUUGCCAGCUACACCAUCUAAAAAUCAGGCAGCUGAUCCGGGUACAUUGCUACUCGGAGACGUUGGUGCAUUCACACUUCUCAUGGAUCUUUGUAUUAGCCUGAUAGUGUUGGGAUCUCGAAAUUUUGCUGUAGGUGAAGAAGGGAUUCCUAUCUCGAAAUUCUGUUGUAGGUGAAGCGUCUCCUGUAGGCCAUGGAGAUGACCAGGGAUGCAUUGGGAGGCGGGCGACGUAA
This is a long non-coding RNA of Triticum aestivum (bread wheat), 2974 nucleotides long. RefSeq lists it as uncharacterized. NCBI's taxonomy places the organism in Eukaryota, Viridiplantae, Streptophyta, Magnoliopsida, Poales, Poaceae. The transcript has 3 exons. The record is from RefSeq and is a predicted model, not a curated record.